GGUGGUGGUGGUGGUGGUGGGUGGAGAGGGGAUGGGAGAGAAAAAAUGUGGGAUGCAGAUGUCUGAGGGUUAUGUGCUGCCCCAAUGCUGCUUCCCUUGUGAAGCUGAGAGUCGUGGGGGAUGGACAUCCUGAAUGAGGACAGUGUACAUUUCUCAGAGGCAGCUUUUCUUUCUUUUCUUUUAAAAAGGCUGCUCUGUGUAGCAUGUGGGAUCUUAGUUCCAUGACCAGGGAUCGAACCUGUGCUCCCUGCACUGGGAGUGUGGAGUGUUAAUCACUGAACUGGCAGCUUUUCUUCUUGCAGUGCAAUUAGGUGUGAAAACUUUCAUGCAUCAGGGGAAAGCCCUGAGAAGAGGUCCAGAGUCAGGAGGCAGCCACAACUGCGGCCUUGGUGGGGCAAGGAGAGGGAUAAAAGAAGGGGAAAGAAAGAAGCUAAACAGAGCAUGGGCAGGUGGGGGACAAAAACAAGAAACAAAAUAGGAGUAAGGGAAGGGGAGAACAACAGAAAAAGAGAAUCGAGACGAGAAGGAGAGGAGAGCAGUUCAAUUGAUUCCAAUAAGUAUUUUGUGGGAGAGAGAAGUGUUUUUAUAUAAUAAGUAUCUAUCAAAUCUGCUUCCUGCCCUCCAAGAGCUUACAGGUUAGUUAAAAUGCUCAGUCACACAGCUCAUCCUGGAACAAAAUAUGACAGAAUAUAAAGCAGAUGUCAGCGUCAUGGAACAUGAGAAAGAAGGGCAGAGGUAAUUGUGGGAAGACUUGGUAGAGGAGGUGGGUCUUAAGAAUCUUCUAGAAGUUUGGUGAGCUAGGUAGGCAGAGGUGUGGGGCAGGCAUUCCUGGUAUUAGAGAAACAAGGAAAGGAAUAGGAGUAAAGAAAAGACAAACGAAAAGUUGAAGCCUGCCACUGAGCUGCCUUAGUUACCACACAAGCCACAACUAUAAUACCUUACCCCUUUUAUUCAAAGAAAUUAGAAAAUUCCUAGAGGACCUGGUAAUCUCAGGCACCUGGGUGGCCUCAGACAGAGGUUCCCAGUCAGCCCACCUGAGGCCACAGACUCGUAUAAGAGUCUCACCUGGCAGAUUCCCAAGCAUCCCCGCUCUCCUCCAUACAAUGGCCCUGAACCAAAUAACUUCAGAGUGUGUUUCCUAAGAAGAAGGACAUUCUCAAACAUUCACAACAUCAUUAUCACACUUAUGGGGAAAAAUUAGCAACAUGCUUCAUUGUAUUAUCUAACAGACAUUUCCCACUAAAAAUUUCCAAAUCAUCCCCCAAAUGUCUUUCAUAGCAUGUUUUAAAAAAUCAAGAAUCCAAUGAAGGCUGCAUAUUGCAUAUGGUGUUUGUUUGUUUGAAUCUAGAAUGGUCACCCCCCUGACUGCUUUUUAAUAAGUUUUUUUAAUGACACUGACUUUUGUGAAGAGUCCAGACCAACCAUCUAUAGAAUGUGCCACAUCCUGGGUUUAUAAGGUUGUUUCUUAUGGUUAGAGUCAUUAAUAACUUAAAUAUUUUUUGGCAAAAAUAAUCCAUAAGUGGGCUUCAUAUCAAAAGGCUUAAAUAAUAUCAGAUUGUUCCACUAUUGGUGAUGCUCAGUUUGAUCACUUAAAGCAAUAACCAUCAAAUCUCUCCAAACCAAACAUUUUCCCUUUUGUAAUUAAUAAUUUGUGAGGAAAUAUACUGAUGUUGUAUGAACAUCCAGUUACUUUUACUCAGUGGUUAACAUCUGGUUAUGGUCCU
Molecule: long non-coding RNA, 1724 nt
Organism: Bos taurus (domestic cattle)
Lineage: Eukaryota; Metazoa; Chordata; Mammalia; Artiodactyla; Bovidae
Source: Ensembl